Molecule: signal recognition particle RNA, 288 nt
Filed under: Aotus nancymaae (Ma's night monkey)
Lineage: Eukaryota; Metazoa; Chordata; Mammalia; Primates; Aotidae
Description: Metazoan signal recognition particle RNA (ENSANAG00000012137.1)
Rfam family: Metazoan signal recognition particle RNA
About the family: The signal recognition particle (SRP) is a universally conserved ribonucleoprotein.
Source: RNAcentral
GCCACAUGCCUGUAGUCCCUGCUACUCGGGAGGCUGAGGUGGGAGGAUCACUUGAGCCCAGGAGUUCUGGGCUGUAAUGCACUUAUGUCAAUCAGGUGUCCGCACUAAGUUCGGCAUCAAUAUGGUGACCUCCCGGGAGCGGGGGACCACCAGGUUGCCUAAGGAGGGGUGAACCGGCCCAGGUCAGAAACCGAGCAGGUCAAAACUCCCGUGCUGAUCAGUAGUGGGAUUGCGCCUGUGAAAAGCCACUGCACUCCAGCCCGGGCAACAUAGCGAGACCCCGUCUCA